This 455-nucleotide ribosomal RNA is filed under the name uncultured Acidovorax sp. RNAcentral describes it as "bacterial SSU rRNA". It matches the Rfam family "Bacterial small subunit ribosomal RNA", at positions 927 to 1382 of the family's 1533-position model. Lineage: Bacteria; Pseudomonadati; Pseudomonadota; Betaproteobacteria; Burkholderiales; Comamonadaceae. The record is from RNAcentral.
AAGCGGUGGAGUAUGUGGUUUAAUUCGAUGCAACGCGAAAACCUUACCCACCUUUGACAUGUACGGAAUCCUUUAGAGAUAGAGGAGUGCUCGAAAGAGGAGCCGUUAACACAGGUGCUGCAUGGCUGUCGUCAGCUCGUGUCGUGAGAUGUUGGGUUAAGUCCCGCAACGAGCGCAACCCUUGUCAUUAGUUGCUACAUUCAGUUGGGCACUCCAAUGAGACUGCCGGUGACAAACCGGAGGAAGGUGGGGAUGACGUCAAGUCCUCAUGGCCCUUAUAGGUGGGCUACACACGUCAUACAAUGGAUGGUACAAAGGGUCGCUAACCCGCGAGGGGGAGCCAAUCCCAUAAAGCCAUUCGUAGUCCGGAUCGCAGUCUGCAACUCGACUGCGUGAAGUCGGAAUCGCUAGUAAUCGUGGAUCAGAAUGUCACGGUGAAUACGUUCCCGGGUCUU